Molecule: transfer RNA, 63 nt
Filed under: Neoteredo reynei
Lineage: Eukaryota; Metazoa; Mollusca; Bivalvia; Myida; Teredinidae
Description: tRNA-His
Source: RNAcentral
GCUGUCUUAGUUUAUUUAAAAUGUUGCGUUGUGGUCGCAGAGAUGAACUCUGUUCAGGUAGUA